UAGGGAAUCUUCCACAAUGGACGCAAGUCUGAUGGAGCAACGCCGCGUGAGUGAAGAAGGUUUUCGGACCGUAAAGCUCUGUUGUUGGUGAAGAAGGAUAGAGGUAGUAACUGGCCUUUAUUUGACGGUAAUCAACCAGAAAGUCACGGCUAACUACGUGCCAGCAGCCGCGGUAAUACGUAGGUGGCAAGCGUUGUCCGGAUUUAUUGGGCGUAAAGCGAGCGCAGGCGGAAGAAUAAGUCUGAUGUGAAAGCCCUCGGCUUAACCGAGGAAUUGCAUCGGAAACUGUUUUCUUGAGUGCAGAAGAGGAGAGUAGAACUCCAUGUGUAGCGGUGGAAUGCGUAGAUAUAUGGAAGAAUACCAGUGGCGAAGGCGGCUCUCUGGUCUGCAAACUGACGCUGAGGCUCGAAAAGCAUGGGUAGCGAACAGGAUUAGAUACCCUGGUAGUCCAUGCCGUAAAACGAUGAGUGCUAAGUGUUGGGAGGCUUCCGCCUCUCAGUGCUGCAGCUAACGCAUUAAGCACUCCGCCUGGGGGAGUACGACCGCAAGGUUGAA
RNAcentral lists this ribosomal RNA (555 nucleotides) under uncultured bacterium. Its description in RNAcentral is "partial 16S ribosomal RNA". It matches the Rfam family "Bacterial small subunit ribosomal RNA", at positions 355 to 898 of the family's 1533-position model. The record is from RNAcentral.